Molecule: long non-coding RNA, 1063 nt
Filed under: Daphnia magna
Lineage: Eukaryota; Metazoa; Arthropoda; Branchiopoda; Diplostraca; Daphniidae
Description: uncharacterized LOC123471479
Source: RNAcentral
UGGAUUGCUCAACUAGAAUCGUCUUUGGCUGAUAAAAUUCAUUGUUUGAGCCAUGAAGAGCUCCCAUCCCAUGGAAUUCUCUAUUGGGAUGCUAUUCAGUCACGUUUUAACCUUCGCAUUAGGGCCAGUGGCGUUAUUCAACGAUGCUUUGCCCACUUCGGUUCCCUGAUGACAACCGCCUUCGCAGUUGCAAGUUGCAACGUCCAACCCCGCAGUACGGAGUUCCAGCUGUGCGAUCACGACAAUAGCGAUCGGCAUCCACCAGUCCACACGUCAUCGCAAGAAUAGCGAAAACGACAGAGAUGCUGCACGAAUAAAUUUGGCAUCGCUGUUGGUAUUUCCUACAACUACAUGUACGGACAGAAGAAAACAAAAUAUUAGUCAACGUGGUGAUCUUGAACGACUUGUUGCGUUUUCAUGGUCGUGACGAUUCUUUGUUUACACAUUGCUCUGUACUUGUAUUUCUGUUUAUACUUGGAUAAGGAUACAGUGUGAGUUAUCAGUUCGACUAGUGCUAGAGUUCUCUGUCUUGUAGUGGCAAUGUCAUGUGUCUUAACAGUUGCUGCAUUUAUUGUGGGAAAAAAAAUAUUGUGAACGACGUCGUCUAUGGAUUGGUGCUGAGCAAUCUGUAGACUUGCUUAAUGCUCCUUCACCCAGUUCACCAUGCACGUUUUUAUUAACAAGUGAAAAAAGAAAAGACAAAACGAUCAGCUGAUUGCCAUACGGUGGUGUUGAUUUUGGGAGUGCAAAAGCCACAAACUAACCGCCUAUUGCAAACCAAACGUCUGUCGAUGGCUUUUCUAUGUUAAAAUGAAAUAAGUUCUCUAUUCCAAUUUUGGGUACUCCCUUGCAGUUGGUUGAAAAUUUUUCAAGCGCCAACUGCAUGACGGGAUGUUGGUAGUCGGCAUGGAUGAUUUCAUUUGCCACAAAGUAGUCAUCCAAAAUAUGUGAAGUAUAAAUGUGAUAUAAUUGUGUUUCGAAUAAAUAUUGUGAAUUGCUCUAAAUAUUGUUCUUAUCGCCAUUAGAUGUUAAAAAAUAUAUAUUUCAUCAUCAAACUUGAAAA